UACGGGGGGGGCAAGCGUUGUUCGGAAUUACUGGGCGUAAAGGGUUUGUAGGUGGCCCGCUAAGUCACACGUGAAAUCCCUCAGCUUAACUGGGGAACUGCGUGUGAGACUGGCAGGCUUGAGUGCAGGAGAGGAACGCGGAAUUCCAGGUGUAGCGGUGAAAUGCGUAGAUAUCAGGAGGAACACCGGUGGCGAAGGCGGCGUUCUGGACUGUAUCUGACACUGAAGAACGAAAGCGUGGGGAGCAAACGGG
This 253-nucleotide ribosomal RNA is filed under the name uncultured bacterium. Its description in RNAcentral is "partial 16S ribosomal RNA". It matches the Rfam family "Bacterial small subunit ribosomal RNA", at positions 524 to 776 of the family's 1533-position model. The record is from RNAcentral.